GUGUUGCAAGACUUAAUAGGGAAGUCGGUCAAAGCCGACGCGGUCCCGCCACUGUAACAGCGAGUGCCUCUGCAUGGUGCCACUGGGGAAACCCCGGGAAGGCGCAGAGAAACGAUGAACUGGAGCCAGGAGAACUGCCUGAUUUA
This 146-nucleotide non-coding RNA is filed under the name Centipeda periodontii. The record is from RNAcentral. Lineage: Bacteria; Bacillati; Bacillota; Negativicutes; Selenomonadales; Selenomonadaceae.